AAGAAGUCAGGCCAGAUUAAGCCAUAGUACGGAAAGAGCUAUGCUGCCUGUGAGCCCCGUCCAAGGACGUAAAAUGAAGUCAGGCCGAAAGCCACGGAUUGAGCAAGCCGUGCUGCCUGUGGCUCCAUCGUGGGGAUGUAAAAACCCGGGAGGCUGCAACCCAUGGAAGCUGUACGCAUGGGGUAGCAGACUAGUGGUUAGAGGAGACCCCUCCCUAGACAUAACGCAGCAGCGGGGCCCAACACCAGGGGAAGCUGUACCUUGGUGGUAAGGACUAGWGGUUAGAGGAGACCCCCCGCACAACAACAAACAGCAUAUUGACGCUGGGAA
Molecule: long non-coding RNA, 330 nt
Filed under: dengue virus type 1
Lineage: Riboviria; Orthornavirae; Kitrinoviricota; Flasuviricetes; Amarillovirales; Flaviviridae
Description: dengue virus type I partial sfRNA1
Source: RNAcentral